Molecule: ribosomal RNA, 860 nt
Filed under: Chaetoceros neogracilis
Lineage: Eukaryota; Bacillariophyta; Thalassiosirophyceae; Chaetocerotales; Chaetocerotaceae
Description: partial Bacterial large subunit ribosomal RNA
Rfam family: Bacterial large subunit ribosomal RNA
Source: RNAcentral
CACCUUCGAAGGCUAAGUACUCCUGACUGACCGAUAGUGAACCAGUACCGUGAGGGAAAGGUGAAAAGCACCCCGACGAGGGGAGUGAAACAGUUUCUGAAACCGGACGCCUACAAUCAGUCGGAGGCUCCUUGAGAGCUGACGGCGUACCUUUUGUAUAAUGGGUCAUCGACUUGGUCUAUCUAGCAAGCUUAAGCCGUUAGGUGUAGGCGCAGCGAAAGCGAGUCUUAAUAGGGCGAAUGAGUUAGAUGGAUCAGACCCGAAACCGAGUGAUCUAGGCAUGACCAGGAUGAAGGUAAGGUAACACUUACUGGAGGUCCGAACCCACACCUGUUGAAAAAGGUCGGGAUGAGUUGUGCCUAGGGGUGAAAGGCCAAUCAAACUCGGAGAUAGCUGGUUCUCCGCGAAAUCUAUUUAGGUAGAGCGUCAUCCGAAUACCCCGGGGGGUAGAGCACUGGAUGGGUAAUGGGGCCCCACAGGCUUACUGAUCCUAACCAAACUCCGAAUACCGAGAAGUAAUAGAUGGCAGACAGACUGCGGAUGCUAACGUCCGUAGUCGAGAGGGAAACAACCCUGACCUACAGCUAAGGCCCCUAAUUCAUGGCUAAGUGGGAAAGCAGGUGAGACGGCCAAAACAACCAGGAGGUUGGCUUAGAAGCAGCCACCCUUUAAAGAAAGCGUAAUAGCUCACUAGUCGAGUCGGCCUGCGCGGAAGAUGUAACGGGGCUCAAACUGGUCACCGAAGCUGCGGCUGCAUACUUUGUAUGCGGGGUAGGGGAGCGUUCUGUAAGCCUGCGAAGGUGUGUUGAGAAGCAUGCUGGAGGUAUCAGAAGUGCGAAUGCUGACAUGAGUAACGAUAA